RNAcentral lists this ribosomal RNA (465 nucleotides) under uncultured bacterium. RNAcentral describes it as "partial 16S ribosomal RNA". It matches the Rfam family "Bacterial small subunit ribosomal RNA", at positions 28 to 507 of the family's 1533-position model. The record is from RNAcentral.
GACGAACGCUGGCGGCGUGCUUAACACAUGCAAGUCGAACGGAAAGGCCCCUUUGGGGGUACUCGAGUGGCGAACGGGUGAGUAACACGUGAGUAACCUGCCCUUGACUUCGGGAUAACUUCAGGAAACUGGGGCUAAUACCGGAUAGGAAUCCUUGCUGCAUGGUGGGGGUUGGAAAGCUUCGGCGGUUUUGGAUGGACUCGCGGCUUAUCAGCUUGUUGGUGGGGUAGUGGCUUACCAAGGCUUUGACGGGUAGCCGGCCUGAGAGGGCGACCGGCCACAUUGGGACUGAGAUACGGCCCAGACUCCUACGGGAGGCAGCAGUGGGGAAUAUUGCACAAUGGGCGGAAGCCUGAUGCAGCAACGCCGCGUGCGGGAUGACGGCCUUAGGGUUGUAAACCGCUUUCAGCAGGGGCGAAGCUUGUGGUGACGGUACCUGCAGAAGAAGCACCGGCUAACUACGUG